This 1311-nucleotide ribosomal RNA is filed under the name Triticum aestivum (bread wheat). Its description in RNAcentral is "partial small subunit ribosomal RNA". Lineage: Eukaryota; Viridiplantae; Streptophyta; Magnoliopsida; Poales; Poaceae. The record is from RNAcentral.
AUGGACGCGAGGCAGUCUUUCUAUGGUUGGUUUGCCACUUGUGCAUCCAGAAUCUGCACUUGGAGAAUGUUUUUCACUGACACUCUCAAGCACUUUGGGGAUGUCACUGGCCUUGUCACAAAUUGUUCGAAAAGUCUUGUCACCCCAAUCCGUUGUGAAAAUGUUGAUCUUCCGGACAUCCUCCAAACCUUCCUGGCCAAGCUUUCCUCCUCCCCGAUGAAAUACCUUGGGUUGCCUUUAUCAGUCAAGAGGUUGAAGAGAAUUCACUACCAGCCCCUCGAGGACAAGAUUGCGGGUCAGCUCACCCCUUGGGUGGGAAGGCACAUUGCCUCGGCAGAUUUACCGUUGGAGGUCAAGAAGAAGAUUGAUGCCCUCAGAUGUGCUUUCCUUUGGGUAGGUUGUGAUAAAGUCACAGGUGGAAAAUGCAAGAUAAACUGGGAACAAGUGCGCAAGUCCAAACUGCAUGGAGGCCUGGGAAUCCUAAAUCAUGACAAGGUUGCCAUCGCCCUUCGUCUCCGGUGGCUAUGGGCCGAGUGGCUCCACCCGGACAAGCCAUGGGUUGGCUUGGGAACCCCUUGUGAUGACACCGACCGAAAUAUUUUUGCUGGAGCUACCAAGGUUGAAGUUGGCAAUGGCUUGCAUGCCAAGUUUUGGGAGUCUCCUUGGCUAGAAGGGAUUGGGCCCAAAGACAUGGCCCCUAAAAUAUAUGAAUUGUCGAAGAAGAAGAAUUGCUCAGUUCUAAUGGCUCUGCACGACAACUUUUGGACUUCCCAGGUGGACAUCCUUCGCGGCAUCACUGUCGAACACCUCUCUGAAUUUGUCACCCCUUGGGAGAAGGUCUCCCAUAUCCACCUCGACAUCAACAUGCCCGACACUAUCACUUGGAAGUUCACCAUUGAUGGACACUACUCGGCGACGUCGACCUACAACGCGCAGUUCUUUGGCCGUACUGACACUGAGAUGAUAUCGACCGUUUGGAAGGUUUGGGCGCCUCUUAAAUGCAAGUUCUUCGCUUGGUUGCCAAUCAACAAUAGGAUCUGGACAGCGGAUAGGCUUCAAUGUCAUGGGUGGCCACACAGUAACCUUUGUCCCCUAUGUAAGCAGGUUCAAGAGUCAGCGGCCCACCUUCUAUUCCAAUGCAGAUGCACUAUGAGAGUUUGGCACAUGAUCAAAGAUUGGCUGGGUCUCCAUGAUGUGCAUCCUAGUGAUUGGAGUGACGCGACUUCCGCUAAAGAGUGGUGGAGCCACAAUGAUACCAAGAAGACACAAUCCUCCAAUCCUUCCCGGCCAAGCUUUCCUCCUUUCCGAUGA